RNAcentral lists this ribosomal RNA (442 nucleotides) under uncultured bacterium. Its description in RNAcentral is "bacterial SSU rRNA". It matches the Rfam family "Bacterial small subunit ribosomal RNA", at positions 506 to 929 of the family's 1533-position model. The record is from RNAcentral.
UGCCAGCAGCCGCGGUAAUACGGAGGGUGCGAGCGUUGUCCGGAAUCACUGGGCGUAAAGGGCGCGUAGGUGGCUUCUCAAGCGCGCGGUGAAAGCCCGGGGCUCAACCCCGGGUCGGCCGUGCGGACUGGGAGGCUCGAGCACUGUAGGGGCGGGUGGAAUUCCGGGUGUAGCGGUGGAAUGCGUAGAGAUCCGGAAGAACACCGGUGGCGAAGGCGGCCCGCUGGGCAGGAAGGCUCGCAAGAGCCGGCUGACACUGAGGCGCGACAGCGUGGGGAGCAAACAGGAUUAGAUACCCUGGUAGUCCACGCCGUAAACGAUGGGCACUAGGUGCCUGGGGGAGCGACCCCCCGGGUGCCGGCGCUAACGCAUUAAGUGCCCCGCCUGGGGAGUACGGCCGCAAGGCUGAAACUCAAAGGAAUUGAUCGGGGGCCCGCACAAG